Molecule: ribosomal RNA, 337 nt
Filed under: Staphylococcus sp.
Lineage: Bacteria; Bacillati; Bacillota; Bacilli; Caryophanales; Staphylococcaceae
Description: bacterial SSU rRNA
Rfam family: Bacterial small subunit ribosomal RNA
Source: RNAcentral
UCCCCCCGUGAGUGUGAGGUCUUCGGAUCGUAAAGCUCUGUUGUUAGGGAAGAACAAAUGUGUAAGUAACUAUGCACAUCUUGACGGUACCUAACCAGAAAGCCACGGCUAACUACGUGCCAGCAGCCGCGGUAAUACGUAGGUGGCAAGCGUUAUCCGGAAUUAUUGGGCGUAAAGCGCGCGUAGGCGGUUUUUUAAGUCUGAUGUGAAAGCCCACGGCUCAACCGUGGAGGGUCAUUGGAAACUGGAAAACUUGAGUGCAGAAGAGGAAAGUGGAAUUCCAUGUGUAGCGGUGAAAUGCGCAGAGAUAUGGAGGAACACCAGUGGCUGCAGACGA